Transfer RNA from Ovis aries (sheep), 57 nucleotides. It matches the Rfam family "tRNA", at positions 8 to 63 of the family's 71-position model. From Rfam's summary of the family: Transfer RNA (tRNA) molecules are approximately 80 nucleotides in length. Their secondary structure includes four short double-helical elements and three loops (D, anti-codon, and T loops). The record is from Rfam. Lineage: Eukaryota; Metazoa; Chordata; Mammalia; Artiodactyla; Bovidae.
UGGCUCAGAGGUUAAAGCAUCUGCCUGGAAUGCAGGAGACCCGGGUUCGAUCCCUGG